ACUUGGGGUGACUCCUUCCCACCCAGGCGCCCCUAAGUACAGUGUCUUAACCCACAACAGUUCAUCUCUCACCCCACUAUACUUUCACCAAGGGUCAGCCAGUGUCUCUGUCCCAUGUUAUUAUUGACCUCCCUCUGGACCCAGCCAGUGGGGUAACCACCUUCUGGAAUGCUGCUGGUUUCCAUGGCUAAGGAGAGAGACUAGGGGUGAGUCUUUCCCACCCGAACCUGAUAAGCUCAAGUACCCACAGAGACAUGGGGGCAAGAAAGGCACUAAGAGGUAUGCAGAUCUAAGACGGAUGUCUGGAAAAAAACCAUAGGGAUGGCUACUGCCCCAAGAAGCUGACCAGACUCGAACAGAUAAGAAGUGGACUGUGUUUAGU
Neomonachus schauinslandi (Hawaiian monk seal) is the source of this 382-nucleotide long non-coding RNA. RefSeq lists it as uncharacterized. The record is from RefSeq and is a predicted model, not a curated record. Lineage: Eukaryota; Metazoa; Chordata; Mammalia; Carnivora; Phocidae. The transcript is spliced from 3 exons.